RNAcentral lists this transfer RNA (73 nucleotides) under Stenomitos rutilans HA7619-LM2. RNAcentral describes it as "tRNA-Phe". It matches the Rfam family "tRNA". Rfam says of the family: Transfer RNA (tRNA) molecules are approximately 80 nucleotides in length. Their secondary structure includes four short double-helical elements and three loops (D, anti-codon, and T loops). Further hydrogen bonds mediate the characteristic L-shaped molecular structure. tRNAs have two regions of fundamental functional importance: the anti-codon, which is responsible for specific mRNA codon recognition, and the 3' end, to which the tRNAs corresponding amino acid is attached (by aminoacyl-tRNA synthetases). tRNAs cope with the degeneracy of the genetic code in two manners: having more than one tRNA (with a specific anti-codon) for a particular amino acid; and 'wobble' base-pairing, i.e. permitting non-standard base-pairing at the 3rd anti-codon position. RNAcentral also lists the same sequence under 1 other name. Lineage: Bacteria; Bacillati; Cyanobacteriota; Cyanophyceae; Leptolyngbyales; Leptolyngbyaceae. The record is from RNAcentral.
GGGAAUGUAGCUGAGUUAGGUUUAGCGCCAGGUUGAAGCCCUGGAGACGCGGGUUCGAUCCCUGCCGUUCCCA